GUACUCACUUCAGCAGCACAUGUACUAAAACUUGAAUGAUAGAGAAGAUUAGCACGGCCCCAUAUGCAAGAAUGACAUACAAAUUCCUGAAGUGUUUCAUAUUUUU
Loxodonta africana (African savanna elephant) is the source of this 106-nucleotide small nuclear RNA. The record is from Ensembl. Lineage: Eukaryota; Metazoa; Chordata; Mammalia; Proboscidea; Elephantidae.